This 463-nucleotide ribosomal RNA is filed under the name uncultured bacterium. RNAcentral's name for it is "partial 16S ribosomal RNA". It matches the Rfam family "Bacterial small subunit ribosomal RNA", at positions 28 to 507 of the family's 1533-position model. The record is from RNAcentral.
GACGAACGCUGGCGGCGUGCUUAAUACAUGCAAGUCGAACGGUGAACCUCUUCGGAGGGGAUCAGUGGCGAACGGGUGAGUAACACGUGGGCAACCUGCCCCCGGCUCUGGGAUAACUCCAAGAAAUUGGGGCUAAUACCGGAUGUUCACCGCUUCCCGCAUGGGUGGUGGUGGAAAGGGUUUCCGGCUGGGGAUGGGCCCGCGGCCUAUCAGCUUGUUGGUGGGGUAGUGGCCUACCAAGGCGACGACGGGUAGCCGGCCUGAGAGGGUGACCGGCCACACUGGGACUGAGACACGGCCCAGACUCCUACGGGAGGCAGCAGUGGGGAAUAUUGCGCAAUGGGCGGAAGCCUGACGCAGCGACGCCGCGUGGGGGAUGACGGCCUUCGGGUUGUAAACCUCUUUCAGCAGGGACGAAGCGCAAGUGACGGUACCUGCAGAAGAAGCACCGGCCAACUACGUG